GUGUAUUAAGGAAAACAUUUUUAGUCAACGUUUAUUCUCAUACAUGGACAACAUGAACAGCCACUGUAUUUAUGUUUUACAGCAGGGCUCACUGAGGUCACACAAAAAACAAUGUGUAAAGGCAACCAGAUGACCUAGUAGUUUGGACUUAUGCACAAAUGCCCCACUAACAUAGCCCCUUUUCUUUAGUGUUCUCUGCACUGCCAAAUAAAGGCAGAAAUACAACCAAAUGAUUA
Molecule: long non-coding RNA, 236 nt
Organism: Acanthochromis polyacanthus (spiny chromis)
Lineage: Eukaryota; Metazoa; Chordata; Actinopteri; Pomacentridae
Exons: 2
Source: RefSeq, a predicted model, not a curated record